Molecule: ribosomal RNA, 1223 nt
Filed under: Lactiplantibacillus plantarum
Lineage: Bacteria; Bacillati; Bacillota; Bacilli; Lactobacillales; Lactobacillaceae
Description: bacterial SSU rRNA
Rfam family: Bacterial small subunit ribosomal RNA
Source: RNAcentral
AAUCUGCAAGUCGAACGAACUCUGGGUAUUGAUUGGGUGCUUGCAUCAUGAUUUACAUUUGAGUGAGUGGCGAACUGGUGAGUAACACGUGGGAAACCUGCCCAGAAGCGGGGGAUAACACCUGGAAACAGAUGCUAAUACCGCAUAACAACUUGGACCGCAUGGUCCGAGUUUGAAAGAUGGCUUCGGCUAUCACUUUUGGAUGGUCCCGCGGCGUAUUAGCUAGAUGGUGGGGUAACGGCUCACCAUGGCAAUGAUACGUAGCCGACCUGAGAGGGUAAUCGGCCACAUUGGGACUGAGACACGGCCCAAACUCCUACGGGAGGCAGCAGUAGGGAAUCUUCCACAAUGGACGAAAGUCUGAUGGAGCAACGCCGCGUGAGUGAAGAAGGGUUUCGGCUCGUAAAACUCUGUUGUUAAAGAAGAACAUAUCUGAGAGUAACUGUUCAGGUAUUGACGGUAUUUAACCAGAAAGCCACGGCUAACUACGUGCCAGCAGCCGCGGUAAUACGUAGGUGGCAAGCGUUGUCCGGAUUUAUUGGGCGUAAAGCGAGCGCAGGCGGUUUUUUAAGUCUGAUGUGAAAGCCUUCGGCUCAACCGAAGAAGUGCAUCGGAAACUGGGAAACUUGAGUGCAGAAGAGGACAGUGGAACUCCAUGUGUAGCGGUGAAAUGCGUAGAUAUAUGGAAGAACACCAGUGGCGAAGGCGGCUGUCUGGUCUGUAACUGACGCUGAGGCUCGAAAGUAUGGGUAGCAAACAGGAUUAGAUACCCUGGUAGUCCAUACCGUAAACGAUGAAUGCUAAGUGUUGGAGGGUUUCCGCCCUUCAGUGCUGCAGCUAACGCAUUAAGCAUUCCGCCUGGGGAGUACGGCCGCAAGGCUGAAACUCAAAGGAAUUGACGGGGGCCCGCACAAGCGGUGGAGCAUGUGGUUUAAUUCGAAGCUACGCGAAGAACCUUACCAGGUCUUGACAUACUAUGCAAAUCUAAGAGAUUAGACGUUCCCUUCGGGGACAUGGAUACAGGUGGUGCAUGGUUGUCGUCAGCUCGUGUCGUGAGAUGUUGGGUUAAGUCCCGCAACGAGCGCAACCCUUAUUAUCAGUUGCCAGCAUUAAGUUGGGCACUCUGGUGAGACUGCCGGUGACAAACCGGAGGAAGGUGGGGAUGACGUCAAAUCAUCAUGCCCCUUAUGACCUGGGCUACCACGUGCUACAUGGAUGGUACA